This 1320-nucleotide ribosomal RNA is filed under the name metagenome. RNAcentral describes it as "bacterial LSU rRNA". It matches the Rfam family "Bacterial large subunit ribosomal RNA", at positions 1589 to 2925 of the family's 2925-position model. The record is from RNAcentral.
AAGUCCGUGAGCCAUGCGUCAAGAAAAGCCGCUAUCGUUUAUACCGUACCCGUACCGUAAACCGACACAGGUGGAUGAGGAGAGAAUCCUAAGGCCGGCGGAAGAAGCAUUGUCAAGGAACUCGGCAAAAUGGCCCCGUAACUUAGGGAUAAGGGGUGCCUGGGAAACCAGGCCGCAGAGAAUAGGCUCAAGCAACUGUUUAGCAAAAACACAGGUCUAUGCGAAACCGAAAGGUGAGGUAUAUGGGCUGACGCCUGCCCGGUGCUGGAAGGUUAAGAGGAGAGGUUAGCGGUAACGCGAAGCUUUGAAUUUAAGCCCCAGUAAACGGCGGCCGUAACUAUAACGGUCCUAAGGUAGCGAAAUUCCUUGUCGGGUAAGUUCCGACCCGCACGAAAGGCGUAAUGAUUUGAGCGCUGUCUCGACAAUGCAUCCGGUGAAAUUGAAGUACCAGUGAAGAUGCUGGUUACCUGCGCCAGGACGGAAAGACCCCAUGGAGCUUUACUCCAGUUUGGUACUGGGACUCGGUAUUGCAUGUACAGGAUAGGUGGGAGGCUAGGAGAUGGUAACGCCAGUUGCCAUGGAGCCGCUGUUGGGAUACCACCCUUGCAGUAUUGGGUUUCUAACCAGCCGCCGUGACCCGGCGGUGGGACAAUGCCAGACGGGGAGUUUGACUGGGGCGGUCGCCUCCGAAAGGGUAUCGGAGGCGCCCAAAGGUUCCCUCAGAAUGGACGGAAACCAUUCGAAGAGUGCAAAGGCAGAAGGGAGCUUGACUGCGACACCGACGGGUGGAGCAGGUACGAAAGUAGGGCUUAGUGAUCCGGUGGUAUUAAGUGGGAAUGCCAUCGCUCAACGGAUAAAAGCUACCCUGGGAUAACAGGCUUAUCACUCCCAAGAGUUCACAUCGACGGAGUGGUUUGGCACCUCGAUGUCGGCUCAUCGCAUCCUGGGGCUGUAGUAGGUCCCAAGGGUUGGGCUGUUCGCCCAUUAAAGCGGUACGCGAGCUGGGUUCAGAACGUCGUGAGACAGUUCGGUCCCUAUCCGGCGUGGGCGUAGGAUAUCUGAGAGGAGCUGUCCUUAGUACGAGAGGACCGGGAUGGACGGGCCGCUGGUGCAUCGGUUAGACUGCCAAGUCUACGGCCGAGUAGCCAAGCCCGGAAGGGAUAAACGCUGAAGGCAUCUAAGCGUGAAGCCCCCCUUAAGAUGAGAUAUCCCAUUCGAAAGAAGUAAACCCCCUUGAAGACGACGAGGUAGAUAGGGCAGAGGUGGAAGUGUGGCAACACAUGGAGCUGACUGUUACUAAUCGGGUGAGGGCUUGACCUA